This 438-nucleotide ribosomal RNA is filed under the name uncultured bacterium. RNAcentral's name for it is "partial 16S ribosomal RNA". It matches the Rfam family "Bacterial small subunit ribosomal RNA", at positions 339 to 795 of the family's 1533-position model. The record is from RNAcentral.
CUACGGGGGGCAGCAGUGAGGAAUAUUGCACAAUGGGGGAAACCCUGAUGCAGCAACGCCGCGUGGAGGAUGACGCAUUUCGGUGUGUAAACUCCUUUUAUGAGUCAAGAAAAUGACGGUAGCUCAUGAAUAAGCACCGGCUAACUCCGUGCCAGAGCCGCGGUAAUACGGAGGGUGCAAGCGUUACUCGGAAUCACUGGGCGUAAAGGACGCGUAGGCGGGAUGUCAAGUCAGGUGUGAAAUCCUAUGGCUCAACCAUAGAACUGCACUUGAAACUGGCAACCUAGAGUAUGGGAGGGGGAGAUGGAAUUAGUGGUGUAGGGGUAAAAUCCGUAGAUAUCACUAGGAAUACCGAAAGCGAAGGCGAUCUCCUGGAACAUUACUGACGCUAAGGCGUGAAAGCGUGGGGAGCAAACAGGAUUAGAUACCCGUGUAGUC